Molecule: ribosomal RNA, 497 nt
Filed under: uncultured bacterium
Lineage: Bacteria
Description: partial 16S ribosomal RNA
Rfam family: Bacterial small subunit ribosomal RNA
Source: RNAcentral
GACGAACGCUGGCGGCGUGCCUAAUACAUGCAAGUUGAGCGCUGAAGGUUGGUCCUUGUCCCGACUGGCUGAGCAGCGAACGGGUGAGUAACGCGUGGGGAAUCUGCCUUUGAGCGGGGGACAACAUUUGGAAACGAAUGCUAAUACCGCAUAAAAACUUUAAACACAAGUUUUAAGUUUGAAAGAUGCAAUUGCAUCACUCAAAGAUGAUCCCGCGUUGUAUUAGCUAGUUGGUGAGGUAAAGGCUCACCAAGGCGAUGAUACAUAGCCGACCUGAGAGGGUGAUCGGCCACAUUGGGACUGAGACACGGCCCAAACUCCUACGGGAGGCAGCAGUAGGGAAUCUUCGGCAAUGGACGAAAGGCUGACCGAGCAACGCCGCGUGAGUGAAGAAGGUUUUCGGAUCGUAAAACUCUGUUGGUAGAGAAGAACGUUGGUGAGAGUGGAAAGCUCAUCAAGUGACGGUAACUACCCAGAAAGGGACGGCUAACUACGUG